GCCACUCUAGUCAAGUUGGUCACGACACUUGUCUGAAAAACAAGCUAUCUCGGUUCGAUUCCGAGGGGUGGCA
RNAcentral lists this transfer RNA (73 nucleotides) under Pseudomonadales bacterium. RNAcentral describes it as "tRNA-Phe". It matches the Rfam family "tRNA". Rfam says of the family: Transfer RNA (tRNA) molecules are approximately 80 nucleotides in length. Their secondary structure includes four short double-helical elements and three loops (D, anti-codon, and T loops). The record is from RNAcentral. Lineage: Bacteria; Pseudomonadati; Pseudomonadota; Gammaproteobacteria; Pseudomonadales.